GAUGAACGCUGGCGGCGUGCCUAAUACAUGCAAGUCGAGCGAACGGACGAGAAGCUUGCUUCUCUGAUGUUAGCGGCGGACGGGUGAGUAACACGUGGAUAACCUACCUAUAAGACUGGGAUAACUUCGGGAAACCGGAGCUAAUACCGGAUAAUAUUUUGAACCGCAUUGUUCAAAAGUGAAAGACGGUCUUGCUGUCACUUAUAGAUGGAUCCGCGCUGCAUUAGCUAGUUGGUAAGGUAACGGCUUACCAAGGCAACGAUGCAUAGCCGACCUGAGAGGGUGAUCGGCCACACUGGAACUGAGACCCGGUCCAGACUCCUACGGGAGGCAGCAGUAGGGAAUCUUCCGCAAUGGGCGAAAGCCUGACGGAGCAACGCCGCGUGAGUGAUGAAGGUCUUCGGAUCGUAAAACUCUGUUAUUAGGGAAGAACAUAUGUGUAAGUAACUGUGCACAUCUUGACGGUACCUACUCAGAAAGCCACGGCUAACUACGUG
Molecule: ribosomal RNA, 497 nt
Filed under: uncultured bacterium
Lineage: Bacteria
Description: partial 16S ribosomal RNA
Rfam family: Bacterial small subunit ribosomal RNA
Source: RNAcentral